RNAcentral lists this ribosomal RNA (276 nucleotides) under uncultured prokaryote. RNAcentral describes it as "partial 16S ribosomal RNA". It matches the Rfam family "Bacterial small subunit ribosomal RNA", at positions 524 to 800 of the family's 1533-position model. The record is from RNAcentral.
UACGUAGGGGGCUAGCGUUAUCCGGAUUUACUGGGCGUAAAGGGUGCGUAGGCGGUCUUUCAAGUCAGGAGUGAAAGGCUACGGCUCAACCGUAGUAAGCUCUUGAAACUGUAAGACUUGAGUGCAGGAGAGGAGAGUGGAAUUCCUAGUGUAGCGGUGAAAUGCGUAGAUAUUAGGAGGAACACCAGUUGCGAAGGCGGCUCUCUGGACCGUAACUGACGCUGAGGCACGAAAGCGUGGGGAGCAAACAGGAUUAGAUACCCGGGUAGUCCCUGA